UACAGAGGUCCCAAGCGUUGUUCGGAUUCACUGGGCGUAAAGGGCGCGUAGGCGGCCCUCCUUGUCGCGUGUGAAAGCCCCGGGCUCAACCUGGGAACGGCGCGCGAGACGGGGGGGCUGGAGUUCGGGAGAGGAGCGUGGAAUUCCCAGUGUAGAGGUGAAAUUCGUAGAUAUUGGGAAGAACACCGGUGGCGAAGGCGGCGCUCUGGACCGAGACUGACGCUGAGGCGCGAAAGCGUGGGGAGCAAACAGG
Molecule: ribosomal RNA, 253 nt
Filed under: uncultured bacterium
Lineage: Bacteria
Description: partial 16S ribosomal RNA
Rfam family: Bacterial small subunit ribosomal RNA
Source: RNAcentral